ACCUACGGGGCGCAGCAGCGAGGAAUAUUGGUCAAUGGGCGGGGGCCUGAACCAGCCAAGUCGCGUGAGGGAAGACGGUCCUAUGGAUUGUAAACCUCUUUUGUCGGGGAGCAAAGAGGCCUCGUGAGGUCAAAAGCGAGAGUACCCGAAGAAAAAGCAUCGGCUAACUCCGUGCCAGCAGCCGCGGUAAUACGGAGGAUGCGAGCGUUAUCCGGAUUUAUUGGGUUUAAAGGGUGCGUAGGCGGGACGGUAAGUCAGCGGUAAAAAUGCGGAGCUCAACUCCGUACAGCCGUUGAAACUGCCGU
RNAcentral lists this ribosomal RNA (305 nucleotides) under uncultured bacterium. RNAcentral describes it as "bacterial SSU rRNA". It matches the Rfam family "Bacterial small subunit ribosomal RNA", at positions 337 to 639 of the family's 1533-position model. The record is from RNAcentral.